This 506-nucleotide ribosomal RNA is filed under the name uncultured bacterium. Its description in RNAcentral is "partial 16S ribosomal RNA". It matches the Rfam family "Bacterial small subunit ribosomal RNA", at positions 29 to 523 of the family's 1533-position model. The record is from RNAcentral.
AGUGAACGCUGGCGGUAGGCCUAACACAUGCAAGUCGAACGGCAGCACAGGAGAGCUUGCUCUCUGGGUGGCGAGUGGCGGACGGGUGAGGAAUACAUCGGAAUCUACUCUGUCGUGGGGGAUAACGUAGGGAAACUUACGCUAAUACCGCAUACGACCUACGGGUGAAAGCAGGGGAUCUUCGGACCUUGCGCGAUUGAAUGAGCCGAUGUCGGAUUAGCUGGUUGGCGGGGUAAAGGCCCACCAAGGCGACGAUCCGUAGCUGGUCUGGGAGGAUGAUCAGCCACACUGGAACUGAGACACGGUCCAGACUCCUACGGGAGGCAGCAGUUGGGAAUAUUGGACAAAGGGCGCAAGCCUGAUCCAGCCAUACCGCGUGGGUGAAGAAGGCCUUCGGGUUGUAAAGCCCUUUUGUUGGGAAAGAAAUCCAGCUGGCUAAUACCCGGUUGGGAUGACGGUACCCAAAGAAUAAGCACCGGCUAACUUCGUGCCAGCAGCCGCCGUAA